Cydia splendana is the source of this 512-nucleotide long non-coding RNA. RefSeq lists it as uncharacterized. Lineage: Eukaryota; Metazoa; Arthropoda; Insecta; Lepidoptera; Tortricidae. The record is from RefSeq and is a predicted model, not a curated record. The transcript is spliced from 2 exons.
UUUUUAGGUUCCAUAGCCAAAAUGGCAAAAAUGGAACCCUUAUAGUAUCUGAGAAGCUUUUUUUUAUACCAUAUCGGUGGCAAACAAGCAUACGGCCCGCCUGAUGGUAAGCAGUCACCGUAGCCUAUGGACACCUGCAACUCCAGGGGUGUUACAUGCGCGUUGCCGACCUUUUAAAAACCUGUACACUCCUUUUUUGAAGAACCCCGUACUGUAGACCCUCGGGAAAACCUCGGAAGGGAGCUCAUUCCACAGCCGGAGCGUCCGUGGGAGGAAAUUCCUCUUAAAUCGCAUAGUACGCGACCAUUUAGGUUCUAGGGUGUGAGGAUGAACACCCUGCCGACGGCGACCGGUGCGGUGAUAGAAAGCGGCCGUUGGCAUCAUGUCAAACAAUUCCUCAGAGCACAGCCCAUUGUACAAGCGGUAGAACACACACAAGGAGGCAAAGUCUCUCCUUAGACUUAAAGGUUCAAUACCACUUGUGAGUUUGGAAUCAUCGACGAUUCGUACAG